Molecule: ribosomal RNA, 465 nt
Filed under: Vreelandella stevensii
Lineage: Bacteria; Pseudomonadati; Pseudomonadota; Gammaproteobacteria; Oceanospirillales; Halomonadaceae
Description: partial 16S ribosomal RNA
Rfam family: Bacterial small subunit ribosomal RNA
Source: RNAcentral
CCUACGGGUGGCUGCAGUGGGGAAUAUUGGACAAUGGGGGGAACCCUGAUCCAGCCAUGCCGCGUGUGUGAAGAAGGCCCUCGGGUUGUAAAGCACUUUCAGUGAGGAAGAACGCCUGGUGGUUAAUACCCAUCAGGAAAGACAUCACUCACAGAAGAAGCACCGGCUAACUCCGUGCCAGCAGCCGCGGUAAUACGGAGGGUGCGAGCGUUAAUCGGAAUUACUGGGCGUAAAGCGCGCGUAGGUGGCUUGAUAAGCCGGUUGUGAAAGCCCCGGGCUCAACCUGGGAACGGCAUCCGGAACUGUCAAGCUAGAGUGCAGGAGAGGAAGGUAGAAUUCCCGGUGUAGCGGUGAAAUGCGUAGAGAUCGGGAGGAAUACCAGUGGCGAAGGCGACCUUCUGGACUGACACUGACACUGAGGUGCGAAAGCGUGGGUAGCAAACAGGAUUAGAUACCCCGGUAGUC